Molecule: transfer RNA, 76 nt
Filed under: Chitinophaga agrisoli
Lineage: Bacteria; Pseudomonadati; Bacteroidota; Chitinophagia; Chitinophagales; Chitinophagaceae
Description: Chitinophaga sp. BN140078 tRNA-Glu
Rfam family: tRNA
About the family: Transfer RNA (tRNA) molecules are approximately 80 nucleotides in length.
Source: RNAcentral
GCUGCGCUGGUCAAAGGGUUUAAGACGUCUCCCUUUCACGGAGAAGAUACAGGUUCGAUUCCUGUGCGCAGUACCA